UGGAAGUGAGGGAUCAUUACCCCUGUCCAGAGAGGUCUGUCUGUGUUUGGUCACAUGGAUCCACUUCUUCCAGGUCCGCACCCUCUACAUCUGGAAUGAUGACACACUCUUCUGCAAUUCUGGCUUUUAGUCCCACCGGCAGAUCAUCUUGAUGCAGUGAGCAACAUCAACCCGCACGAAACAAGCAUUUGCACCACUGGGACACUUGAGCUCUCACCCCCUGCCACAACACCCUG
Molecule: long non-coding RNA, 236 nt
Organism: Esox lucius (northern pike)
Lineage: Eukaryota; Metazoa; Chordata; Actinopteri; Esociformes; Esocidae
Exons: 4
Source: RefSeq, a predicted model, not a curated record